Long non-coding RNA from Cuculus canorus (common cuckoo), 407 nucleotides. RefSeq lists it as uncharacterized. The transcript has 3 exons. The record is from RefSeq and is a predicted model, not a curated record. NCBI's taxonomy places the organism in Eukaryota, Metazoa, Chordata, Aves, Cuculiformes, Cuculidae.
CUUUGUUUGCAGCAGGGCAUCCAAGUAUUCUACCACCAUGCUGAGCAUCCUGGACCUCACAGCAGACUACAGUUGCCAGUCAACAAGAGAAGAUCAUUGAGGCAUGAAUGGGCUGCAAACAAGCAGCAUGAAUGGAGCAGAAAAAGGGGCUAAGGGCCAUAUUUGGUGCCUGAAACUACUAACUCUGUGAGCACUCCCAGGAAACCCAUCCAAGGAUUUAUUUGAGAAUCAGCGCCUCAUGAGACCCCUCUGGGAGCCUUCCUUCAGUUCUUCAUAGAUUGUAAGGCUCCAGCCAGCUGGAUUCCCGUCAUUCCUGAGAGGAAUUUAUGUGAGAAGAGAACUAGGGGAAGCAGGAAGAGACUCAGAGACCUACGGGGCAUACACUGUGCUGACAAAGUCAAUAUUUC